AACGAACGCUGGCGGCGCGCUUAACGCAUGCAAGUCGAACGAGAAGGCGUAGCAAUACGCUUGUACAGUGGCGAACGGGUGAGUAAUACGUGGGCGACCUACCCUCGAGUGGGGAAUAACCCGCCGAAAGGCGGGCUAAUGCCGCGUACGCUUCCAUCUUUAUGGAGGUGGAAGGAAAGCCGUGCCGUGGGCACGGCGCUCAAGGAUGGGCUCACGUCCUAUCAGCUUGUUGGAGGGUAACGGCCUACCAAGGCCCCGACGGGUAGCUGGUCUGAGAGGACGAUCAGCCACACUGGCACUGCGACACGGGCCAGACUCCGUACGGGAGCAGCAGUGAGGAAUAUUGCGCAA
Molecule: ribosomal RNA, 351 nt
Filed under: uncultured bacterium
Lineage: Bacteria
Description: bacterial SSU rRNA
Rfam family: Bacterial small subunit ribosomal RNA
Source: RNAcentral